GUAGUGAGCUGUUUGGCGGCUUAAUUUCGACUUAAGACAAGGAUUAUAUAGUG
RNAcentral lists this transfer RNA (53 nucleotides) under Ebrechtella tricuspidata. RNAcentral's name for it is "tRNA-Arg". Lineage: Eukaryota; Metazoa; Arthropoda; Arachnida; Araneae; Thomisidae. The record is from RNAcentral.